UUGCCCCAUCACCUGAUGUCGAAAAAACACAAAAAAAUUUGUGCUUUGCGCCCUGUUGCCAAUUCGCCCACGCCAUUAGCCUCUCGUCGCCUACUCCGUGGGCGACUCCAUCCAGAAAGAUAAGACCUCAAAGCUCUCUCUCUCUUUUUCUCUCUUUCUCAUAAUAUUCGAGAAUUUUUUUCGGUGGGCUAUCGCUUUGAGACUUGGCGUUUUCUCGGACAUCACGAUUCCUCCUCUUUAAAAGCCGUUCCACGCCCUCCACUUCGCCAUGCGCCGAUUCGCGACGGAAAGAGCCAAGAAGCUCAUCGUUGGCUCUUUUCUCUCCUCUCGAUCGCCAUCGCCUUCUUCGCAUCUCUUAUCCUCUUCUGCUGCCGCCGCGGCGUCCGCCAUGGGCUCCACUCAAUCCCCUCCCGUUACUCUGGAUUCUAUCAAUCCAAAGGUCAUAAAAUGUGAGUAUGCUGUCCGUGGAGAGAUUGUGAGCCAUGCCCAGCGCUUACAACAAGAGUUGCAAACCAAGCCAGGUGCUCAUCCCUUUGAUGAGAUACUUUAUUGCAAUAUCGGGAAUCCCCAAUCUCUUGCUCAGCAGCCAAUUACAUUUUUCCGGGAGGUACUUGCCUUAUGUGACCACCCAUCCAUUUUGGACAAAAGUGAAACUCAUGCCUUAUUCAGCGCGGAUGCUAUAGCACGAGCAUGGCAGAUUCUGGACUUGAUUCCUGGUAGGGCCACAGGUGCAUAUAGUCAUAGUCAGGGAAUCAAAGGCUUACGUGAUGCUAUUGCUGCUGGGAUUGCGGCCCGUGAUGGUUUCCCUGCCAAUGCAGAUGACAUUUUCCUAACUGAUGGAGCAAGCCCUGCAGUGCACAUGAUGAUGCAGUUAUUGAUAAGAUCCGAGAAAGAUGGCAUUCUCUGCCCCAUCCCUCAGUACCCAUUAUACUCUGCUUCAAUUGCUCUUCAUGGUGGUUCUCUUGUCCCAUAUUACCUUGAUGAAGCAACAGGAUGGGGACUGGAGAUUUCUGAGGUUAAGAAGCAACUGGAAGAUGCUCGAUCCAAGGGCAUUGCUGUUAGGGCAAUAGUAGUGAUAAAUCCAGGCAAUCCCACGGGACAGGUUCUUGCAGAGGAAAACCAGCGAGAAAUAGUGGAGUUUUGCAAGAAAGAAGGCCUUGUUCUUCUAGCAGAUGAGGUAUACCAAGAAAAUAUCUAUGUUGAAAACAAGAAAUUUAACUCUUUCAAGAAGAUCGCAAGGUCAAUGGGAUAUGGCGAGCAAGAUAUUUCUUUAGUAUCAUUUCAGUCAGUUUCAAAGGGGUAUUAUGGGGAAUGUGGAAAACGGGGAGGCUACAUGGAGGUUACUGGUUUCAGUGCUGAUGUGAGAGAACAGAUAUACAAAGUGGCAUCGGUAAACCUCUGUUCCAACAUCUCUGGCCAGAUUCUCGCAAGCCUUGUUAUGAAUACACCAAAGAAAACCUGCAGGUUGGAGAUGAAUCAUAUGAAUCCUUUAUUGCAGAGAAAAAUGGUAUCCUGUCAUCUUUAGCUAGGCGCGCGAAGGCUUUGGAGGAUGCAUUCAAUAGCUUAGAAGGUGUGACAUGCAACAAGGCAGAGGGAGCAAUGUAUCUCUUCCCCCGUCUUCACCUGCCUCAGAAGGCAAUCGAAGCUGCCAAAGUAGUUAAUGCGGCCCCCGAUGCAUUCUAUGCUCGCCGUCUUCUUGAUGCCACUGGAAUUGUUGUUGUUCCUGGGUCCGGCUUUGGGCAGGUUCCUGGAACAUGGCAUUUCAGAUGCACAAUCCUGCCGCAGGAGGAUAAGAUCCCGGCCAUCAUCUCCCGUCUCAAGGCAUUCCAUGAAUCAUUUAUGGAAGAGUUCCAUGACUAGGCCUCGUCUCCAACUCACCGAGCCAUCAUCCCUGUGAUGUUAUCUCUCUGUCUCACGUAUAAGAUAUUUGAAUCGGAAUAAGCAAUCCAUCCAUCCAUUCUUUUUCCCUUUUGUGGAUGGACCAAGUGCACGUUGUCACUUGACUGUAAUAUGCUACAAGCACAGGCUUCCUUUAGAAAUUUAAUGUGAUUUUCUCAAACAUGUUUGGCCAUUCA
This is an RNA transcript of Elaeis guineensis (African oil palm), 2075 nucleotides long. It is a transcript of the gene named alanine aminotransferase 2, with no coding region annotated. Lineage: Eukaryota; Viridiplantae; Streptophyta; Magnoliopsida; Arecales; Arecaceae. The record is from RefSeq and is a predicted model, not a curated record.